RNAcentral lists this unclassified non-coding RNA (235 nucleotides) under Hevea brasiliensis (rubber tree). Lineage: Eukaryota; Viridiplantae; Streptophyta; Magnoliopsida; Malpighiales; Euphorbiaceae. The record is from RNAcentral.
GGAACCAACUGUAUUCUGUCUCAGCUCGUCCUCUAAGUGCUAAGCCAUUUGCUCUAUAAAGAGUCAUUAUUUCAUGCACAUAACCAUGGGGGUUCACAUAAGCACUGAGCGGACCUUCAGUAGACAUCACCAACAUAUCACUGCGCUUGGCUAUAACUGUCUUGCAGUUUUUACAUUGGAUGAUAUCAAUAGAUUUGAGUAACUCAAUUUCCCGACGCAAUCUAUAUGAAAUGCC